This 75-nucleotide transfer RNA is filed under the name Pseudobacteroides cellulosolvens ATCC 35603 = DSM 2933. Its description in RNAcentral is "Bacteroides cellulosolvens ATCC 35603 tRNA". It matches the Rfam family "tRNA". From Rfam's summary of the family: Transfer RNA (tRNA) molecules are approximately 80 nucleotides in length. Their secondary structure includes four short double-helical elements and three loops (D, anti-codon, and T loops). Further hydrogen bonds mediate the characteristic L-shaped molecular structure. tRNAs have two regions of fundamental functional importance: the anti-codon, which is responsible for specific mRNA codon recognition, and the 3' end, to which the tRNAs corresponding amino acid is attached (by aminoacyl-tRNA synthetases). tRNAs cope with the degeneracy of the genetic code in two manners: having more than one tRNA (with a specific anti-codon) for a particular amino acid; and 'wobble' base-pairing, i.e. permitting non-standard base-pairing at the 3rd anti-codon position. Lineage: Bacteria; Bacillati; Bacillota; Clostridia; Eubacteriales; Oscillospiraceae. The record is from Rfam by way of RNAcentral. RNAcentral also lists the same sequence under 3 other names.
CGGGGUGUAGCUCAGUUUGGCUAGAGUACUUGCUUGGGGUGCAAGGGGUCGUCGGUUCAAGUCCGGUCACUCCGA